RNAcentral lists this ribosomal RNA (253 nucleotides) under uncultured bacterium. Its description in RNAcentral is "partial 16S ribosomal RNA". It matches the Rfam family "Bacterial small subunit ribosomal RNA", at positions 524 to 776 of the family's 1533-position model. The record is from RNAcentral.
UACGUAGGGGGCGAGCGUUAUCCGGAUUUACUGGGUGUAAAGGGAGCGUAGACGGCAUAGCAAGUCUGAAGUGAAAGCCCGUGGCUCAACCGCGGAACUGCUUUGGAAACUGUUAAGCUGGAGUACUGGAGAGGCAAGCGGAAUUCCUAGUGUAGCGGUGAAAUGCGUAGAUAUUAGGAGGAACACCAGUGGCGAAGGCGGCUUGCUGGACAGAGACUGACGUUGAGGCUCGAAAGCGUGGGGAGCAAACAGG